UGGGGAAUAUUGGACAAUGGGCGCAAGCCUGAUCCAGCCAUGCCGCGUGUGUGAAGAAGGCCUUCGGGUUGUAAAGCACUUUCAGCGAGGAGGAAGGGAGUUGUGUUAAUAGCACAGCUUCUUGACGUUACUCGCAGAAGAAGCACCGGCUAACUCUGUGCCAGCAGCCGCGGUAAUACAGAGGGUGCAAGCGUUAAUCGGAAUUACUGGGCGUAAAGCGCACGUAGGCGGUUUUUAAGUCAGAUGUGAAAGCCCCGGGCUCAACCUGGGAAUUGCAUUUGAAACUGGAAAACUAGAGUGUGUGAGAGGGGGGUAGAAUUCCAAGUGUAGCGGUGAAAUGCGUAGAGAUUUGGAGGAAUACCAGUGGCGAAGGCGGCCCCCUGGCACAACACUGACGCUCAUGCACGAAAGCGUGGGGAGCAAACAGGAUUAGAUACCCAAGUAGUCCCUGAGCGGGCUGGCAAGGCGCAU
This 471-nucleotide ribosomal RNA is filed under the name uncultured bacterium. RNAcentral describes it as "bacterial SSU rRNA". It matches the Rfam family "Bacterial small subunit ribosomal RNA", at positions 355 to 825 of the family's 1533-position model. The record is from RNAcentral.